RNAcentral lists this unclassified non-coding RNA (536 nucleotides) under Fusarium solani. Its description in RNAcentral is "sequence contains ITS1, 5.8S rRNA gene, ITS2". The stretch from base 165 to 318 matches the Rfam family "5.8S ribosomal RNA". The record is from RNAcentral. Lineage: Eukaryota; Fungi; Ascomycota; Sordariomycetes; Hypocreales; Nectriaceae.
GAGGGAUCAUUACCGAGUUAUACAACUCAUCAACCCUGUGAACAUACCUAAAACGUUGCUUCGGCGGGAACAGACGGCCCCGUAACACGGGCCGCCCCCGCCAGAGGACCCCCUAACUCUGUUUCUAUUAUGUUUCUUCUGAGUAAAACAAGCAAAUAAAUUAAAACUUUCAACAACGGAUCUCUUGGCUCUGGCAUCGAUGAAGAACGCAGCGAAAUGCGAUAAGUAAUGUGAAUUGCAGAAUUCAGUGAAUCAUCGAAUCUUUGAACGCACAUUGCGCCCGCCAGUAUUCUGGCGGGCAUGCCUGUUCGAGCGUCAUUACAACCCUCAGGCCCCCGGGCCUGGCGUUGGGGAUCGGCGAGGCGCCCCCUGCGGGCACACGCCGUCCCCCAAAUACAGUGGCGGUCCCGCCGCAGCUUCCAUUGCGUAGUAGCUAACACCUCGCAACUGGAGAGCGGCGCGGCCACGCCGUAAAACACCCAACUUCUGAAUGUUGACCUCGAAUCAGGUAGGAAUACCCGCUGAACUUAAGCAAU